GGGAGUGUGUAGCUGCUUUGAAAUGCUUCUUCUGUGGCCUGUCCUCUGUGUCAUUAUGGCAGUGACUUUUGCCUAAAAGCUUUAAUAAGAGCUUGAUGAGAAAACUAUGCUCUCAAGAGCCACACGGUUAAACAGCUCUGGACAGAUGAGGAAGGUUCUUGAAGGAGGUUUAUACUGCAAUUUGCAAUGCUUGCCUGCUAGGAAUUUUUUUUUGUGUGUGUGUGUUACUGCUGGCAGAAUUAUAUCAAUAGAAAGCUCAGGAAUGAAGGAAAUCAGCGAGAAAAAUGAGAAUUUGCACAUACUUGGCUUAAAUGUCCACCAGAGACACAAAGAGAUCAGGGUCCACUGUGAAGUGUUCGUUGAAUGACUUAAAGAUUUGAAAACGUGUAGGGACUGUGGUGAUGGCUUCCUUACAUGAGGCAGAAAUAACCAUAAUUGUGCUCAUAUUAAUUGUUAAUUAGACAUGAAAAUUUAAAAGGAAAGCGGGAAUUAUUUUUCCUGAAUGCUGAUCAUGCAGAUUUUUUUACAAUCUGAAGUCAUCUGGGUCUCAGAAAUCCUUAAAUUUGAGAAACAAUUGGUCCCAACAAAAUGAUUAUCACACUGGCAUUUGCUUUGCUGUUCUUCUUGGCUGUUAUGUUUUGUUUUCUGGUUUGUUUCUGUAGGGAAGGGGGACAAGUCUGUUCCAUGUCAGGCUUAAUUUUAGCUUGUGUCGUGGCUCUUUUAUUUUCUGUUUUGUGAAUUUCUUUUUAAAACACGCUGUGCUUAAAAUAUAUUGGUGUUCUGUUCCACA
This is a long non-coding RNA of Neopelma chrysocephalum (saffron-crested tyrant-manakin), 790 nucleotides long. RefSeq lists it as uncharacterized. NCBI's taxonomy places the organism in Eukaryota, Metazoa, Chordata, Aves, Passeriformes, Pipridae. The record is from RefSeq and is a predicted model, not a curated record. The transcript is spliced from 2 exons.